AGCAGAAUCUAUUUUAAAUUUUAUAAUUAAACUAUGCUGAAAAUUUUCUAAGCAUUAUUGCCACUUUUUUUACAGGGCAUUUUUUUACUUGUAGAAGAGUCCCUGAUGUUUUGGUUCCAAAUGCUACAGCCUUAGAAGAUGACAAAAUCACAAACAGAUGUUGGAAAUGCCCAGGACAUCCAACCCUAGCAUAGCUUUUUCAAAAAUAAUUUCCAAUCUAAUUUGGUUUGUUGGUCUUGUUUCUUUUUUAUGCCUUAUCAUUAAACCCACAUCAAACUUCUUGGCUUGACACAGAACAGGAAGUUUGUAAGUUUAAGUGUUCAAGGCCAGGUUGGAUGGAGCUUCAAGCAAGAGCCCUGUCCAUGCCCGUGACAGAAAGAUGGGAUUAGAUGAUUUUCAAAUCUCCUUUCCAACCAAUCCGUUCUAUGACGUCUAGAGGAGGACAAAAAGAAGUACAUACCUUUCUGCCUUUCACUUUUGGAAUCAAAACUUUGGGACCUGAUCCAUGGAAUUGCCAUAGUAGAAUUCAAUAUGGAAGGAAAAGAAACCUUAUUCAGGUUAAGAAAGGGAUUGCUCCUGAUGGAUCUGUUCCAGAGCUGCCCCCUUCAGCUGCUGGAGCCCCAGACCCAUGGCAGCUCCCCAGCUUCCAGGCUUCUGAGAGAACCAGGGGAAAAUACCAAUGUCCCAGAAACAGAUUUCAAUCUGCCUGAGCAGCAAAUUCCUAACAGAAAAUGUUUUGUCAAAACUUUUCUAGUCUCUUCUAUUUGUAAUUAAAGGCUUAUGUUUUACUAUAAAAGAGAUUAUUGUGCUGUGUGUAGCAUGUUUCUGGGUACCAGUGCUGUUGUUUGGGUACUAGGGGUGGUAGGAUGUUGGUGCUGAUCCUCUCCAUCCCAACUUUGAACCAUAAAAUACCAAAGAAAUUUCCCCUUGCUUUAGAAUUCCUUCCCAUAGCUGAAAUGAAGGUCAAAAUUACUUAUAACACCUUCGACACUGGCAUAGGAUUUUGAGAAGGAAUCACAUCAUAAAAGGUAUCAGUCUGUUGCAGGAGCAGUAAUGGCCUGGACCAGGCCAGGCAGGUAGCACCUGAAACUUGGUCAUGCAGAGGACUUUGUGUAAUAAAUGGCAAGAAUUUCUCUCUUGUAGUGGUGAA
RNAcentral lists this long non-coding RNA (1150 nucleotides) under Cyanistes caeruleus (blue tit). Its description in RNAcentral is "lncRNA (ENSCCEG00000002677.1)". The record is from RNAcentral. Lineage: Eukaryota; Metazoa; Chordata; Aves; Passeriformes; Paridae.